This 209-nucleotide long non-coding RNA is filed under the name Prunus persica (peach). RNAcentral describes it as "long non-coding RNA (PPER_LNC000327)". Lineage: Eukaryota; Viridiplantae; Streptophyta; Magnoliopsida; Rosales; Rosaceae. The record is from RNAcentral.
UAUCUUUGUAAAAAAAAAAAAAAAGUGAGAAAAAAUGCAUAACAAACCAAAAUGUAAUUGCACACCAAACAUAAUCACUUUGUUAAUAAUAAACUGGGUUAGCUGUAGUUGAUGAGUUAAUUAAUGUGGGAAAAACUUGCAAUUCACAUGAAUAAUACUGUUUUAUUAUUUUUAACUAAUUAUAUUUUGUUACUCAUAAUAAGAAUUUC